Molecule: long non-coding RNA, 398 nt
Organism: Chinchilla lanigera (long-tailed chinchilla)
Lineage: Eukaryota; Metazoa; Chordata; Mammalia; Rodentia; Chinchillidae
Exons: 2
Source: RefSeq, a predicted model, not a curated record
UGGUUUGCAAAACUGCCAUUUGCUCUUCCCUCUUUCUGAUUGGGUGGUAUCAUAGUCCGUCUUGGGAGGCGGGCGUGUAUUGACUUUUAUGUUGUGUUUACUGGAGAAGACGGUGUGUCAAUCACUAGCGCCACCGCUUCGGAUUGGACUGCUGCCGAGACUCUGGGGACCAGAGCCAAACUUUGCUCCCGAAAUGGAUUGUGGGUUUGUAGUCUCAGGAUUGCUCCUUAGCUGCCAAAACUGUAGAUCAGAGGAAGCGGUUGGACUACAUAUCCCAGAGAUCACGAAAGCUUGAGGCACUGCUUCAUCCUUACACAUCUCAAGCACACACACUGGAAGAUCUGCUUUCUGGCUGAAUGCUACUUUAAAAGAACUAUUUAAAAGUGUUUACCAAAAGC